Molecule: long non-coding RNA, 396 nt
Filed under: Prunus dulcis (almond)
Lineage: Eukaryota; Viridiplantae; Streptophyta; Magnoliopsida; Rosales; Rosaceae
Description: sRNA ncRNA
Rfam family: U5 spliceosomal RNA (bases 1-112)
Source: RNAcentral
GCGUCGAGCACAAAGCGAACUAUUCUUUCGCCUUUUACUAAAGAAUACCGUGUGCGCGUCGCUUUAAAUGGCAUACGCCUAUUUUUUGAGGGGCGCACCUCUGUGGGUGCCCCUAUAAUUUGAGUUCGAAUUAUUUGGAUUUUCUUAUUUCUGGUGUUUGUAGCUUACCGUUGUACCCAAAUGGUUUGUUAUGUAAAUAGCAUGCUCUGUUUCCCAUCGUUGGAAUUGCAUUUACUAUUCACUUGCUAAUUUCUAGCUGUACCUUCAGAUUCACACCUUGGAAAGUUACAUUUUUUUUGGGUAGGGCAAUCAUGUAUACAAAUCCUGCUCAUAUGGAUCCAUCAUUAUAUGCUGUGUCGAAAAUGGGUACUGUUUGGAGAAUCAAAUAGACAUUAG